This 301-nucleotide ribosomal RNA is filed under the name uncultured bacterium. RNAcentral describes it as "partial 16S ribosomal RNA". It matches the Rfam family "Bacterial small subunit ribosomal RNA", at positions 509 to 809 of the family's 1533-position model. The record is from RNAcentral.
CAGUCGCCGCGGUAAUACGGAGGAUCCAAGCGUUAUCCGGAAUCAUUGGGUUUAAAGGGUCCGUAGGCGGUCUUGUAAGUCAGUGGUGAAAGCCCAUCGCUCAACGGUGGAACGGCCAUUGAUACUGCAGGACUUGAAUUAUUGGGAAGUAACUAGAAUAUGUAGUGUAGCGGUGAAAUGCUUAGAGAUUACAUGGAAUACCAAUUGCGAAGGCAGGUUACUACCAAUUGAUUGACGCUGAUGGACGAAAGCGUGGGUAGCGAACAGGAUUAGAUACCCCCGUAGUCCCUGUCUCUUAUAU